CAGCGAUUAAUUUCUUUAUACUUGUUCCUGAAUUACAAAACGUUCCUUCUGUUCCUGAAUAGCUUCUUUCAAAAGGGUUUCUGCUUCUUCGGUGAAUGUUUUGGUAGAAGAUAUGAUUUCUUGGAACUGAGGUUUAUUCGUUUUUAAGUAGGUACGUAACUCAACGAGAAAUUUCCUUACUUGUCCGAUUUCUAAUGAAUCAAGAUAACCAUUCGUUCCGGUAUAAAUAGUCAUUAUUUGUUCCUCUACCGUGAGAGGAGCUGAUUGGGAUUGUUUGAGCAACUCGCGUAGUCGUUGACCUCUUGCCAAUUGAUUCUGAGUAGCUUUAUCGAGAUCAGAAGCGAAUUGCGCAAAGGCUUCUAAUUCUGCGAAUUGCGCCAAUUCCAAUUUUAACUUACCAGCUACCUGUUUCAUAGCUUUUAUUUGAGCUGCGGAUCCUACUCUGGAAACAGAAAUACCCACAUUAAUAGCAGGCCUGAUUCCAGCAUUGAAUAGAUCGGCGGAUAAGAAUAUUUGUCCAUCUGUAAUGGAAAUUACAUUAGUAGGAAUAUAAGCCGAAACGUCUCCUGAUUGGGUCUCGACUAUUGGUAAAGCAGUCAUACUUCCUUCACCUAAACGAGAACUUAAUUUAGCAGCUCUUUCCAAAAGGCGUGAAUGCAAAUAAAAGACAUCUCCUGGAUAAGCUUCACGACCAGGUGGUCUUCGUAAUAGAAGAGACAUUUGGCGAUAAGCCUGCGCUUGUUUGGAGAGAUCAUCAUAAAUGAUUAAAGUGUGUCGUUCACGGUACAUAAAAUAUUCAGCCAGAGCCGCUCCUGUAUAAGGGGCGAGGUAUUGUAAUGUAGCCGGAGAAUCCGCCGUUUCGGCUACCACAAUAGUGUACUCCAUUGCCCCUCUUUCCUGUAAAGUAGUCACUACCUGAGCCACAGAAGACGCUUUUUGCCCAAUAGCUACAUAAACACAUAUUACAUUUUGUCCUUGUUGAUUGAGAAUUGUAUCUGUGGCUACUGCUGUUUUACCGGUCUGUCUAUCCCCAAUAAUUAAUUCUCGUUGACCACGUCCUAUAGGGAUCAUCGAAUCAAUAGCAAUAAGUCCUGUUUGAAGAGGCUCAUAUACAGAACGUCUCGAAAUAAUACCUGGAGCGGGGGAUUCAAUUAGCCGAGAUUCAGAAGCUGAAAUUUCACCUCGACCGUCAAUAGGUUUAGCUAGGGCAUUUAUAACACGACCCAAAUAAGCCUCACUCACAGGUAUCUGAGCAAUUCUUCCUGUUGCUUUUACGGAGCUUCCCUCUUGUAUCAUUAAACCGUCACCCAUUAAUACAACACCGACAUUAUUUGAUUCCAAAUUCAGAGCAAUGCCUAUUGUACCCUCUUCAAAUUCUACUAAUUCGCCUGCCAUUACUUCAUCAAGACCAUAAAUACGAGCAAUGCCGUCGCCUACUUGAAGUACGGUACCGGUAUUUACAAUCUUUACUUCCCUAUUAUAUUGCUCAAUACGUUCGCGGAUAAUAUUACUAAUCUCGUCGGCUCGAAUGGUUACCAUGAGUAUUU
This 1547-nucleotide unclassified non-coding RNA is filed under the name Hevea brasiliensis (rubber tree). Lineage: Eukaryota; Viridiplantae; Streptophyta; Magnoliopsida; Malpighiales; Euphorbiaceae. The record is from RNAcentral.